Oncorhynchus tshawytscha (Chinook salmon) is the source of this 719-nucleotide long non-coding RNA. NCBI's taxonomy places the organism in Eukaryota, Metazoa, Chordata, Actinopteri, Salmoniformes, Salmonidae. The record is from Ensembl.
GUGUCGUGUCCUGCUAGGUGUCGUGUCCUGCUAGGUGUCGUGUCCUGCUUGGUAUCGUGUCCUGCUUGGUGCCGUGUCCUGCUAGGUGUCGUGUCCUGCUAGGUGUCGUGUCCUGCUUGGUGUCGUGUCCUGCUAGGUGUCGUGUCCUGCUAGGUGUCGUGUCCUGCUUGGUGUCGUGUCCUGCUUGGUGUCGUGUCCUGCUAGGUGUUGUGUCCUGCUAGGUGUCGUGUCCUGCUAGGUGUCGUGUCCUGCUAGGCGUCGUGUCCUGCUAGGUGUCGUGUCCUGCUAGGUGUCGUGUCCUGCUAGGUGUCGUGUCCUGCUAGGUGUCGUGUCCUGCUUGGUGUCAUGUCCUGCUAGGUGUCGUGUCCUGCUAGGUGUCGUGUCCUGCUAGGUGUCGUGUCCUGCUAGGUGUCGUGUCCUGCUUGGUGUCGUGUCCUGCUAGGCGUCGUGUCCUGCUAGGUGUCGUGUCCUGCUUGGUGUCGUGUCCUGCUUGGUAUCGUGUCCUGCUAGGUGUCGUGUCCUGCUAGGUGUCGUGUCCUGCUAGGUGUCGUGUCCUGCUAGGUGUCGUGUCCUGCUAGGUGUCGUGUCCUGCUAGGUGUCGUGUCCUGCUAGGUGUCGUGUCCUGCUAGGUGUCGUGUCCUGCUUGUGUCCUGCUAGGUGUCGUGUCCUGCUAGGUGUCGUGUCCUGCUAGGUGUCGUGUCCUGCUAGGCGUCGUGUCC